RNAcentral lists this ribosomal RNA (498 nucleotides) under uncultured bacterium. Its description in RNAcentral is "partial 16S ribosomal RNA". It matches the Rfam family "Bacterial small subunit ribosomal RNA", at positions 28 to 508 of the family's 1533-position model. The record is from RNAcentral.
GAUGAACGCUGGCGGCGUGCCUAAUACAUGCAAGUCGAGCGAACAGAUAAGGAGCUUGCUCCUUUGACGUUAGCGGCGGACGGGUGAGUAACACGUGGGUAACCUACCUAUAAGACUGGGAUAACUUCGGGAAACCGGAGCUAAUACCGGAUAACAUUUGGAACCGCAUGGUUCUAAAGUGAAAGAUGGUUUUGCUAUCACUUAUAGAUGGACCCGCGCCGUAUUAGCUAGUUGGUAAGGUAACGGCUUACCAAGGCAACGAUACGUAGCCGACCUGAGAGGGUGAUCGGCCACACUGGAACUGAGACACGGUCCAGACUCCUACGGGAGGCAGCAGUAGGGAAUCUUCCGCAAUGGGCGAAAGCCUGACGGAGCAACGCCGCGUGAGUGAUGAAGGGUUUCGGCUCGUAAAACUCUGUUAUUAGGGAAGAACAAACGUGUAAGUAACUGGGCACGUCUUGACGGUACCUAAUCAGAAAGCCACGGCUAACUACGUGC